GACGUAGGGGGCAAGCGUUGUCCGGAUUUAUUGGGCGUAAAGAGCUCGUAGGCGGUUUGCCAAGUCGAAUGUGAAACCUCCAGGCUUAACCUGGAGACGCCAUCCGAUACUGGCAUGACUUGAGUCCGGUAGGGGCGCAUGGAAUACCCGGUGUAGCGGUGAAAUGCUUAGAUAUCGGGUGGAACACCAGUGGCGAAGGCGGUGCGCUGGGCCGGAACUGACGCUGAGGAGCGAAAGCGUGGGUAGCAAACAGG
This 254-nucleotide ribosomal RNA is filed under the name uncultured bacterium. RNAcentral's name for it is "partial 16S ribosomal RNA". It matches the Rfam family "Bacterial small subunit ribosomal RNA", at positions 524 to 776 of the family's 1533-position model. The record is from RNAcentral.